Ancylostoma duodenale is the source of this 102-nucleotide non-coding RNA. NCBI's taxonomy places the organism in Eukaryota, Metazoa, Nematoda, Chromadorea, Rhabditida, Ancylostomatidae. The record is from Rfam.
GUUCAAUCCUGAACAUAUACUGAAAUUGGAAGAAUACAGAGAAGUUUAGCAUGGCCGCUACGCAAAGGUGACAAGCAAAUUCGUGAAGCGUUCAAAUUCAGC